RNAcentral lists this ribosomal RNA (328 nucleotides) under uncultured eukaryote. RNAcentral's name for it is "partial 18S ribosomal RNA". It matches the Rfam family "Eukaryotic small subunit ribosomal RNA", at positions 1470 to 1796 of the family's 1831-position model. The record is from RNAcentral.
CCCUUAGAUGUUCUGGGCUGCACGCGCGCUACACUGAUGCGCUCAACGAGUUUACGAACUUGCCCGGAAGGGUUGGUUAAUCUUUUUAAAACGCAUCGUGAUGGGGAUAGAUUAUUGCAAUUAUUAAUCUUCAACGAGGAAUUCCUAGUAAGCGCGAGUCAUCAGCUCGCACUGAUUACGUCCCUGCCCUUUGUACACACCGCCCGUCGCUCCUACCGAUUGGGUGUGCUGGUGAAAUGUUCGGAUCGGCCGUUUGUCGCGGUUUCCGCGGCUCGUGGCUGAGAAGUUCAUUAAACCCUCCCACCUAGAGGAAGGAGAAGUCGUAACA